Molecule: unclassified non-coding RNA, 294 nt
Filed under: uncultured fungus
Lineage: Eukaryota; Fungi
Description: partial contains 5.8S ribosomal RNA and internal transcribed spacer 2
Rfam family: 5.8S ribosomal RNA (bases 1-133)
Source: RNAcentral
UGGUUCUAGCAUCGAUGAAGAACGCAGCGAAAUGCGAUAAGUAAUGUGAAUUGCAGAAUUUUGUGAAUCAUCGAAUUUUUGAACGCACAUUGCACCUUUUGGUAUUCCGAAAGGUAUGCCUAUUCGAGCGUCAUUUCACCUAUCAAACUUUUUAGUUUGGUUUUGAGUCAAAUCUGUUAAAAAAAGGAUUGACUUGAAAGGAAUUUAGUUUUUUGGUACAAUGAUCUGUACAAUAAAAACUACAACUAUACAUUUUUUAUGGUUGACCUCGAAUUAGGUAGGAUUACCCGCUGA